This 1373-nucleotide ribosomal RNA is filed under the name uncultured bacterium. Its description in RNAcentral is "bacterial SSU rRNA". It matches the Rfam family "Bacterial small subunit ribosomal RNA", at positions 28 to 1381 of the family's 1533-position model. The record is from RNAcentral.
GAUGAACGCUGGCGGCGUGCCUAAUACAUGCAAGUCGAGCGAACGGACGAGAAGCUUGCUUCUCUGAUGUUAGCGGCGGACGGGUGAGUAACACGUGGAUAACCUACCUAUAAGACUGGGAUAACUUCGGGAAACCGGAGCUAAUACCGGAUAAUAUUUUGAACCGCAUGGUUCAAAAGUGAAAGACGGUCUUGCUGUCACUUAUAGAUGGAUCCGCGCUGCAUUAGCUAGUUGGUAAGGUAACGGCUUAUCAAGGCAACGAUGCAUAGCCGACCUGAGAGGGUGAUCGGCCGCACUGGAACUGAGACACGGUCCAGACUCCUACGGGAGGCAGCAGUAGGGAAUCUUCCGCAAUGGGCGAAAGCCUGACGGAGCAACGCCGCGUGAGUGAUGAAGGUCUUCGGAUCGUAAAACUCUGUUAUUAGGGAAGAACAUAUGUGUAAGUAACUGUGCACAUCUUGACGGUACCUAAUUAGAAAGCCACGGCUAACUACGUCGCCCCAGCCGCGGUAAUUCUUAGGUGGCACGCGUUAUCCGGAAUUUUUGGCCGCAAAGCGCGCGUAGGCGGUUUUUUAAGUCUGAUGUGAAAGCCCACGGCUCAACCGUGGAGGGUCAUUGGAAACUGGAAAACUUGAGUGCAGAAGAGGAAAGUGGAAUUCCAUGUGUAGCGGUGAAAUGCGCAGAGAUAUGGAGGAACACCAGUGGCGAAGGCGACUUUCUGGUCUGUAACUGACGCUGAUGUGCGAAAGCGUGGGGAUCAAACAGGAUUAGAUACCCUGGUAGUCCACGCCGUAAACGAUGAGUGCUAAGUGUUAGGGGGUUUCCGCCCCUUAGUGCUGCAGCUAACGCAUUAAGCACUCCGCCUGGGGAGUACGACCGCAAGGUUGAAACUCAAAGGAAUUGACGGGGACCCGCACAAGCGGUGGAGCAUGUGGUUUAAUUCGAAGCAACGCGAAGAACCUUACCAAAUCUUGACAUCCUUUGACAACUCUAGAGAUAGAGCCUUCCCCUUCGGGGGGGCAAAGUGACAGGUGGUGCAUGGUUGUCGUCAGCUCGUGUCGUGAGAUGUUGGGUUAAGUCCCGCAACGAGCGCAACCCUUAAGCUUAGUUGCCAUCAUUAAGUUGGGCACUCUAAGUUGACUGCCGGUGACAAACCGGAGGAAGGUGGGGAUGACGUCAAAUCAUCAUGCCCCUUAUGAUUUGGGCUACACACGUGCUACAAUGGACAAUACAAAGGGCAGCGAAACCGCGAGGUCAAGCAAAUCCCAUAAAGUUGUUCUCAGUUCGGAUUGUAGUCUGCAACUCGACUACAUGAAGCUGGAAUCGCUAGUAAUCGUAGAUCAGCAUGCUACGGUGAAUACGUUCCCGGGUCU